Mobula hypostoma (lesser devil ray) is the source of this 1221-nucleotide long non-coding RNA. RefSeq lists it as uncharacterized. The transcript has 3 exons. The record is from RefSeq and is a predicted model, not a curated record. NCBI's taxonomy places the organism in Eukaryota, Metazoa, Chordata, Chondrichthyes, Myliobatiformes, Myliobatidae.
GUGGGGGGUUGUAAAGAAAUUUCCUUUCCCGAGUCGCUUUAGGGGACUACAGAAUGUUCUUCACAUUUGACGGAUGCAAGGGUGAAUCCUUGGUCACGUCCAAAGCGAUUUAUGAAGGUUGGGAAGGGGGAGGGAGAUGCCGCCCAGGAAUACGCCCCUCGAACACAGACGUUAAAGUAACAGCGCGCUCUAGGAAUGUUUAUCGAAUCCAAGUCCUUGACAAACUGCAGACCAGCGGAUGCAUUACUGGAAGAAUGCCAAAUACACUGACUAAGCAGAUGAAUAAAAUGCAUCCUGUCCUUGAACUUGUAUAUAAAGGAGUAUCUAUGCUGUCUGUUUUUGUUUUCAAAGCUAUCGCCGGCUUUUGUGUAGUGCUAGUCUUCCCUUGCUGUAAGUAAAAUAACCAUGUUUAUGAUUGAUCCACUCUGAAGUAAUUGUUGCUUUUUUAAGAGGGAAUGAAAAGGAGCUCGACAAUAAUUAUAAUGUUGUGGACACAACUCAGCACAUCACGAGAACCAUCCUCCCCUCCAUACACUCUGCUUAUACUUAUUGCUGCUUCAGUAAAGUGGCCAGCAUAAUCAAAGACUCCACUCACCCCAGACAUUCCCUUUUCUCCCCGUCCCCAACCCCCUUUGGGCAGAAGAUAUAAAAGCACAUACCACCAGGCUCAAAGGCUGCUUCUACCCCACUGUUAUUGAUUGGAUGGUCCCCUAAUGUGAUAAGGUGGACUCCACUUCUAUGAAAUCACUGAUCUGUUCCACAACCUAUGGACUCACUUUCUAGGAAUCUUCUUGAUAUUUAUUGCUUACUUAUUUAUUACUAUUUUUUUCUUUCUUUUUGUAUUUGCACAGUUUUAUUUUGUAUUGUAACUUCAAAUAUUAAAGUAAUUCAAAGGAAGACACAGGAGUCUAAAAUGGGUCUAACUUCGAGUUUAUGUUAAGCGAGGUGUGGUAGCGUGAUUUCGUGUGAAAUUCAUGUAUUUAUACAUAUAACUCGUAAUGAAUUACUGAAACAAACAAGAAUGCUUAAUCAAACAGUAUAUUUACAAGAUUACUCAAAUAUUACUGAAAUAUUAAAUGCACAAAUUUGUUGUCUAUUGCACAGUAGUUGAAUGUCCAAGUUGGAGCGGUCUUCCAUUAAUUCUAAUAUGGUUAUUGUUCUAUUAUGUAUUUAUUGUGAAUGCCCAUGAGAAAAUGAAUCUCAGAAUUGUGUAAGUUGACA